This is a long non-coding RNA of Sinocyclocheilus anshuiensis, 260 nucleotides long. RefSeq lists it as uncharacterized. The record is from RefSeq and is a predicted model, not a curated record. The transcript is spliced from 3 exons. Lineage: Eukaryota; Metazoa; Chordata; Actinopteri; Cypriniformes; Cyprinidae.
UUAGCCUAAAUUUACUUGAGAACUCCACUGUAGUCUUCAAACAGCGAUGCCUUUGUGUCAUCUGAUGCGGCUUUGCUGGGAUGAUCCAACCAAAUGUUGUCCAAACUCUCUUUAAUCCCACAAAAUCUGAAAGACAAACUUGCUGAAGUUGCUCUGAACGUCUUGGCAUCGUAUGACAGGCCAGAAAGACUGCGGAAGGACCGUCGCUCUUUGAAGGCCACAGUAGGAAGCAUAUCCUCCUCGUCCCUCAGCUCCAGCUU